AGUGAACGCUGGCGGUAGGCCUAACACAUGCAAGUCGAACGGCAGCACAGUAAGAGCUUGCUCUUACGGGUGGCGAGUGGCGGACGGGUGAGGAAUACAUCGGAAUCUACUUUUUCGUGGGUGAUAACGUAGGGAAACUUACGCUAAUACCGCAUACGUCCUACGGGUGAAAGCAGGGGAUCUUCGGACCUUGCGCGAUUGAAUGAGCCGAUGUCGGAGUAGCUAGUUGGCGGGGUAAAGGCCCACCAAGGCGACGAUCCGUAGCUGGUCUGAGAGGAUGAUCAGCCACACUGGAACUGAGACACGGUCCAGACUCCUACGGGAGGCAGCAGUGGGGAAUAUUGGACAAUGGGCGAAAGCCUGAUCCAGCCAUACCGCGUGGGUGAAGAAGGCCUUCGGGUUGUAAAGCCCUUUUGUUGGGAAAGAAAAGCAGCAGGUUAAUACCCCGCUGUUCUGACGGUACCCAAAGAAUAAGCACCGGCUAACUUCGUG
RNAcentral lists this ribosomal RNA (492 nucleotides) under uncultured bacterium. RNAcentral's name for it is "partial 16S ribosomal RNA". It matches the Rfam family "Bacterial small subunit ribosomal RNA", at positions 29 to 507 of the family's 1533-position model. The record is from RNAcentral.